AAUAUCACACGGCAUGCUGGGUAGAAUAUGGCAACUCUGUCUAUAAUAUAACUCAGCAUGCUGACUGUAAUUAUACAAUAUUCCAUCCUGUUAUAUAUUAGUCAGCAUGUUGUUAUAUUAUAUACAGAGUUGCCAUAUUCUACCCAGCAUGCUGUGAUAUU
Pelobates cultripes (western spadefoot toad) is the source of this 161-nucleotide non-coding RNA. The record is from the annotation of a GenBank genome assembly. Lineage: Eukaryota; Metazoa; Chordata; Amphibia; Anura; Pelobatidae.